Long non-coding RNA from Pecten maximus, 710 nucleotides. RefSeq lists it as uncharacterized. The record is from RefSeq and is a predicted model, not a curated record. The transcript is spliced from 4 exons. Lineage: Eukaryota; Metazoa; Mollusca; Bivalvia; Pectinida; Pectinidae.
UUUUUAGAUGUUUAUAACGUAAAUACUCUUGAUUUUUUUGUUAUUUUUCUGCUGCAUGUAAAUUAUUUGUUCUUAGAGAAAACUCUUGUAAAUGUCUCUCAAUUCACUUCAGGGAAAAGAUGGUGACAGGACAGCUGUUUAUGAAGUUGCAUAUGAGGGGUAGGCAGCUUCCAGCACACUAUCAAAUUUGCAGCAAGACUUGGACAAAGGUUCCCUGAAGUUUAUAGAUAUUUAGUCAGCCAGCCACAUAUCCAGUCAGCCAGCCGCAUAUCCAGUCAGCCACCUCUCCAGUUGUGUACACAGCCACCAGUGCAGUGAGCCACCUCUCCAGUAGUGUACACAGCCACCACUGCAGUGAGCCACCUCUCCAGUAGUGUACACAGCCACCACUGUAGUGAGCCACCUCUCCAGUAGUGUACACAGCCACCACUGCAGUGAGCCACCUCUCCAGUAGUGUACACAGCCACCACUGCAGUGAGCCACCUCUCCAGUAGUGUACACAGCCACCACUGCAUCAAAUGUAGACAGUGAGUCCGGCAUUAAGUCAGUCAUCAAUCGAUCAGUCCAGUAGCCUACCAGUCAAAUCUGCUAUCAACUAAUCAAAUGUACACAUGGACUUGGCCAUCAGUCAGCCACUAGUCACCAGUCAUCAGUCCAGUAACUAGUCACCAGUCCAGUUACCAGUCAUCAGUCCAGUUACUAGUCACCAG